GAGGGAAACCCUACCUUUCGAAAUGGGGGAAUAACUCGCAGAAAUGCGAGCUAAUACCGCAUGUGGUUGCAGAGUGGCAUCACUUUGCACCUAAAGAUUUAUCGCUUGGAGACGGCCUCGCGGCCUAUUAGCUAGUUGGUGGGGUAAUGGCCUACCAAGGCGAUGAUGGGUAGCUGGUCUGAGAGGACGACCAGCCACACCGGAACUGAGACACGGUCCGG
This 221-nucleotide ribosomal RNA is filed under the name uncultured bacterium. RNAcentral describes it as "partial 16S ribosomal RNA". It matches the Rfam family "Bacterial small subunit ribosomal RNA", at positions 117 to 334 of the family's 1533-position model. The record is from RNAcentral.